AUUGAACGCUGGCGGCGUGCUUAACACAUGCAAGUCGAUCGGUAACAGGGUGUAGCAAUACAUGCUGACGAGAGGCGGACGGGUGAGUAAUGCUUGGGAAUCUGCCUAUUAGUGGGGGACAACCCGGGGAAACUCGGGCUAAUACCGCAUACGCUCUACGGAGGAAAGCCGGGGACCGCAAGGCCUGGCGCUAAUAGAUGAGCCCAAGUCGGAUUAGCUAGUUGGUAGGUAACGGCCUACCAAGGCGACAAUCCGUAGCUGGUCUGAGAGGACGACCAGCCACACCGGAACUGAGACACGGUCCGGACUCCUACGGGAGGCAGCAGUGGGGAAUAUUGGACAAUGGGGGCAACCCUGAUCCAGCGACGCCGCGUGGGUGAAGAAGGCCUGCGGGUUGUAAAGCCCUUUCGGUGGGGAAGAAAAGUCUCGACCUAAUACGUCGGGACCUUGACGUAA
RNAcentral lists this ribosomal RNA (456 nucleotides) under uncultured bacterium. RNAcentral's name for it is "bacterial SSU rRNA". It matches the Rfam family "Bacterial small subunit ribosomal RNA", at positions 29 to 477 of the family's 1533-position model. The record is from RNAcentral.